GUGUCAGCAGCCGCGCGGUAAUACGGAGGGUGCAAGCGUUAAUCGGAAUUACUGGGCGUAAAGCGCACGCAGGCGGUUUGUUAAGUCAGAUGUGAAAUCCCCGGGCUCAACCUGGGAACUGCAUCUGAUACUGGCAAGCUUGAGUCUCGUAGAGGGGGGUAGAAUUCCAGGUGUAGCGGUGAAAUGCGUAGAGAUCUGGAGGAAUACCGAUGGCGAAGGCAGCCAUCUGGCCUAAUACUGACGCUGAGGUACGAAAGCAUGGGGAGCAAACAGGAUUAGAUACCCUGGUAGUCCAUGCCGUAAACGAUGUCUACUAGCCGUUGGGGCCUUUGAGGCUUUAGUGGCGCAACUAACGCGAUAAGUAGACCGCCUGGGGAGUACGGUCGCAAGACUAAAACUCAAAUGAAUUGACGGGGGCCCGCACAAGCGGUGGAGCAUGUGGUUUAAUUCGAUGCAACGCGAAGAACCUUACCUGGUCUUGACAUAGUAAGAACUUUCCAGAGAUGGAUUGGUGCCUUCGGGAACUUACAUACAGGUGCUGCAUGGCUGUCGUCAGCUCGUGUUGUGAAAUGUUGGGUUAAGUCCCGCAACGAGCGCAACCCUUAUCCUUUGUUGCCAGCGGUCCGGCCGGGAACUCAAAGGAGACUGCCAGUGAUAAACUGGAGGAAGGUGGGGAUGACGUCAAGUCAUCAUGGCCCUUACGACCAGGGCUGCACACGUGCUACAAUGGCGCAUACAAAGAGAAGCGACCUCGCGAGAGCAAGCGGACCUCAUAAAGUGCGUCGUAGUCCGGAUUGGAGUCUGCAACUCGACUCCAUGAAGUCGGAAUCGCUAGUAAUCGUGGAUCAGAAUGCCACGGUGAAUACGUUCCCGGGCCUUGUACACACCGCCCGUCACACCAUGGGAGUGGGUUGCAAAAGAGUAGGCAGCUUAACCUUCGGGAGGGCGCUUACCACUUUGUGAUUCAUGACUGGGGUGAGUCGUACAGUAC
This 991-nucleotide ribosomal RNA is filed under the name uncultured bacterium. RNAcentral describes it as "bacterial SSU rRNA". It matches the Rfam family "Bacterial small subunit ribosomal RNA", at positions 505 to 1492 of the family's 1533-position model. The record is from RNAcentral.